Molecule: long non-coding RNA, 758 nt
Organism: Stegostoma tigrinum
Lineage: Eukaryota; Metazoa; Chordata; Chondrichthyes; Orectolobiformes; Stegostomatidae
Exons: 3
Source: RefSeq, a predicted model, not a curated record
GCCUCCAUGUUUAUUUGAGCUGAGCGGAGGGAGAAGCUCGAGCGGCCGUUUGGACUCUGCUCGCGCUCCCAACCGAAACGCGCGCACGACCACCCAAAACGUCACCGUCUUUUCGAUGUCCCCUUCGUCUCUUUCGGGUUUGCAAACUCCCCCGGUCUGCCCCUACUCCUGCCUCGAGAGUAAAAGUUUCCUUCUCGUUGUGCCCCUGCUGCUGAACCGCUGCCCUGUUCUGGGAUUUUUUUCCCCGCGGCUGAGCGACACUGCUUCCAAAUACUCUCUGCUUACUGCAUGACGUCAUCCAGGUUGUCAGUCAGAGUUGUUGUUUAAGUCUUCUGGAGUAAGUGGGACUUGAACCUGGACCUCCUGCUCCAGAGUCACAUACCACCAGAAGUGAUGGCACCUUGAAAUUGGACUGCAUUAUAUGUGGCAGAAUUUAUGGAAGUCACCAUUAAUGAACGUCCCAGUGACAGUUUUCAAACAUGCUAAAAUAAGAUGUGUAAUGAAUCUGCAGAAGGUCAGCUAUGUACAAAAGGCAUCACAUUCUAUCAAGAACUGAAAACAGACUAAAGAGUCAGUGACCCAGAUGGUGCCCCUCUUCUCAUGUUGUAGAGCACUUUGCAUACAUCAUGGAUUAAACAGAAAAGCCCUUGUGUCUGACUGUGCAUCAUGUGACACAUUUCACACUGAAUAGAGCAUUUUCUUAAUGAGACCAUUCUGAUACGUGAAAUGAAAAAGCACUGGAGUUGGCAGCUGGGAAA